UAGGGAAUCUUCCACAAUGGACGCAAGUCUGAUGGAGCAACGCCGCGUGAGUGAAGAAGGGUUUCGGCUCGUAAAGCUCUGUUGGUAGUGAAGAAAGAUAGAGGUAGUAACUGGCCUUUAUUUGACGGUAAUUACUUAGAAAGUCACGGCUAACUACGUGCCAGCAGCCGCGGUAAUACGUAGGUGGCAAGCGUUGUCCGGAUUUAUUGGGCGUAAAGCGAGUGCAGGCGGUUCAAUAAGUCUGAUGUGAAAGCCUUCGGCUCAACCGGAGAAUUGCAUCAGAAACUGUUGAACUUGAGUGCAGAAGAGGAGAGUGGAACUCCAUGUGUAGCGGUGGAAUGCGUAGAUAUAUGGAAGAACACCAGUGGCGAAGGCGGCUCUCUGGUCUGCAACUGACGCUGAGGCUCGAAAGCAUGGGUAGCGAACAGGAUUAGAUACCCUGGUAGUCCGUGCCGUAAACGAUGAGUGCUAAGUGUUGGGAGGUUUCCGCCUCUCAGUGCUGCAGCUAACGCNNUUAAGCACUCCGCCUGGGGGANUACGACCGCAANGUUGA
RNAcentral lists this ribosomal RNA (553 nucleotides) under uncultured bacterium. RNAcentral describes it as "bacterial SSU rRNA". It matches the Rfam family "Bacterial small subunit ribosomal RNA", at positions 355 to 897 of the family's 1533-position model. The record is from RNAcentral.